Apodemus sylvaticus (European woodmouse) is the source of this 526-nucleotide long non-coding RNA. RefSeq lists it as uncharacterized. The record is from RefSeq and is a predicted model, not a curated record. The transcript is spliced from 3 exons. Lineage: Eukaryota; Metazoa; Chordata; Mammalia; Rodentia; Muridae.
AUAUGCAGAGGACCAAGGAUGAAGAAUGGAAUUGUGCACACACACACACACACACAAGAGUUUUUGGAUUCCUCUGUGGUGAUUGCUCUGGAAGAUGACAACAUGAAGCCGUGCCUCCCAGCAGAGCAGUGUGAGAGGGAUACUGGCCUCCAGCUGGAAUCACCGGCCACAAGUCUGAUAAGAAUGCUGGAGGCUGUUGUUCAUGAAAGAUAAAGAGCCACCUGUUUUCACUUCUGUAAACAAGCUUGAUUGCCUCAACUUCACAAUGUGAAGUUGGAUCACAAUGCGAUGUGUUUGAUCACAGAUCCAGACUGAACUGAACUGAAGUUCCCAAAUGGUUGAGGGGAGCUGCUUCUGUGUGAAAAGAUUUUGCAAGGCUGAUUAGCUGAUUCCAACUUCAGGGAUUGUGGAGAGUUGGAAUGUUGCAGAUCUGGAUCCAAAUUAUCUUGGGCCAUCUUUAGCCCCUUCAAUAGGCAUUCGUUACCUACUUCCUUUGGGAAUGUGUGAGCAAAUUGCUUGGCUUCCA